Long non-coding RNA from Nomia melanderi (Alkali bee), 563 nucleotides. RefSeq lists it as uncharacterized. The record is from RefSeq and is a predicted model, not a curated record. Lineage: Eukaryota; Metazoa; Arthropoda; Insecta; Hymenoptera; Halictidae.
UCAGGUACUCUGGUAUAAGAGAGCCCCUGGUAGGAGAUGAUCGAUAAAUUCGAAACAGCACAGCGGAACUGACAAGUAGUCAUUGUGCUUUCACGGAACUCAGCGACUCAGCGAACCAGAUCAAUCACCAAUCAAAAUGCCGGGACCAGCUUGCGACAAGUGCUCUGACAAAUGCAAGGACUGCAAAUGCGGCAGUUCGUGCAAGUGCUGCGACUCCGGCUGCGGAGAUCAAUGCGCUUGCAAAUCCGGAGGACAGUGUGCUUGCAAGCCCUGUAAGUGCUAAAUUGAAAAGAUGGCGCUACUAAAUUCGAUCUAAUGGGAUGGAGGUUGCGACGAUAAAUCAGCAGUCAAGAUCUUAGAUGCUAUUAUCUAUACAUCAGACUCUUUUUUCUAUUUACUGCCACUAUCAGCAGACAACCAAUGGAACUCGACGCCACAUACUGUCGUCGUACUAUAUAACGUUAUAGCGGCAUGCUACGUAUUUAAUAAAAAUGACGAAUAUCACUUCCGCAUCUAUCGCAUCCCAUCAUAUUCGUGUAUAUGAAAUUUGACUGAAUCAUGCA